UUUAGCCCGAGCAGCAGCUCAUGCACCUCCACAAACUCAGCUCUGCUCUGUCAAAAUGCCAGACUCUAAUGAAGCUGUGCCAGCGCCGUGCCAGGUUAUCAAGGAGGAUGUCGACAAGUGUGUAAAAGACAAAGGAGCAGAGAGCUGUAAAGAUCUGAUGGAUGCCUUCCAGGCCUGUAUCAAAACUCUGUCAGAGGGAUCAUAACAAACAACAUCCUCAUAAAUAUUUGCCUUAACAGAGUCCUCCAAUAUCCCAGCAUUCCCUUCCUCUCUGUUUCCCUGGACUGAACCAUCUGAAAGAAUAAAG
Molecule: long non-coding RNA, 307 nt
Organism: Cheilinus undulatus (humphead wrasse)
Lineage: Eukaryota; Metazoa; Chordata; Actinopteri; Labriformes; Labridae
Exons: 3
Source: RefSeq, a predicted model, not a curated record